Molecule: ribosomal RNA, 440 nt
Filed under: uncultured bacterium
Lineage: Bacteria
Description: partial 16S ribosomal RNA
Rfam family: Bacterial small subunit ribosomal RNA
Source: RNAcentral
CCUACGGGAGGCAGCAGUGGGGAAUAUUGCACAAUGGGGGAAACCCUGAUGCAGCGACGCCGCGUGAGCGAAGAAGUAUUUCGGUAUGUAAAGCUCUAUCAGCAGGGAAGAAAAUGACGGUACCUGAGUAAGAAGCUCCGGCUAAAUACGUGCCAGCCGCCGCGGUAAUACGUAUGGAGCAAGCGUUAUCCGGAUUUACUGGGCGUAAGGGGAGCGUAGGCGGCCUGCCAAGUCUGAUGUGAAAUACCGGGGCGCAACCCCGGGGCUGCAUUGGAAACUGGCAGGCUGGAGUGCCGGAGAGGCAGGCGGAAUUCCUAGUGUAGCGGUGAAAUGCGGAGAUAUUAGGAGGAACACCAGUGGCGAAGGCGGCCUGCUGGACGGUGACUGACGCUGAGGCUCGAAAGCGUGGGGAGCAAACAGGAUUAGAUACCCCGGUAGUC